CAAAUGAUAAUGAAGGAGGACUGCUAGCCCCUAAAGCUUAUACUAUUCUCUCUCUCUUUAUUUUCUCGUGUUCCUUCUGUUGAAGAGCAUAGGGUCAAAACAUAAAAGACUUUCCCACCUUCCCGAGCAUUAAACUAAU
Octopus sinensis (East Asian common octopus) is the source of this 139-nucleotide long non-coding RNA. RefSeq lists it as uncharacterized. The record is from RefSeq and is a predicted model, not a curated record. NCBI's taxonomy places the organism in Eukaryota, Metazoa, Mollusca, Cephalopoda, Octopoda, Octopodidae. The transcript has 3 exons.